UCCGGGACGCCUCCGCCUGGACCUGAGGCCGAACGCUCCUCACCUGGUCGUUCUGCCGGUACCUGCAGCACCGGACAGCUGGGUGCUGAUCUUUGACUUGAGACGGAGACGCUUCCUGUGUGUGGACCUAAAGGGACAAGGCUACAAGUCUAGACAGAAGGACAGAGGACACUGUCUCUUCCGACAUAUUUGGUUCCGGCAGGCUGAGCGACAUGACCCGUUUUCCUCUGUGAGCAGGAGCUGGCUGGUCAAACUGGGGGUUGGCGGGCCAGGAGCGGUCCGUGGGGGGCCACCGGACGGCCGGUCAGUGAAGAGGCAGAGAAGGAGCGAGGAGGUGAAUCCGUCCGAUCCUCUGAGGACAGAGUCCCAUCCGUCUCCUCCUGUGAAGGAUGUGGAGCCAAACCAGGCGGGCGCCGUUUCCAAGGAAACCAUCACUUCCUGUGACGAUCCCCUGCGGGUGCUGAGGCCCAACGGACACGGCAGUCCAGUCAAGACGAACAUCGCAGAGCGAGCAGAGCAGGAGUGACGUCCUGCAGCUGCUGGUUGUCAAGAAGCAAAGAAAAAAAGGCUGACGCUGCAGAGCAACGGGCAACACUAGAUCUGUCCCAAGUGGGACCAAAUGGGAGCAAACAGGAUCAAAUGGGACCAAGUGGGACCAAAUGGGAUCAAGUGGGACCAAAUGGGACCAAGUGGGACCAAAUGGGAUCAAGUG
Molecule: non-coding RNA, 712 nt
Organism: Poecilia reticulata (guppy)
Lineage: Eukaryota; Metazoa; Chordata; Actinopteri; Cyprinodontiformes; Poeciliidae
Source: RefSeq, a predicted model, not a curated record